GCAAUUUUCUCUCUCCUGAGGCAUGGGGCACAGGCCUGAGAGAAGAGCCUAAGAAGGACCCUGGGCUGUUGAUCCCAGGUCCCGCGCACAGGCUGGGAAGGGGAGAAGCAGGAACGUUCUCUCUGGUUCCUUCCUUUCUCUGCCCAACACACCAGGAAGCCAGGUGCAGAUGUGAAAAUUCUGAGAAACCCAGAAAACUCAGGGGAAAAGAAUCCUGCAUUUCUCUCCCUAUAAUUUUCCAGGCAUUCACAUCUUUAAAUAUACUAACCAUGAUUUCUUUCAACAAAAAAUGAGACAUGCAUAAUGCAUCGCAUGUUCUUAAAAUACCCAGAUGACUUCACACUGGUAAAGGAGGCUUAAAAAAAUUGUACGGCAUAGAUUUUGAUUUUCUCCCCAGAAGCUUUCUCUUAGUGGAGAAAUCCUGCUUCUCCCAGCCCGGCCUGCUUCCCUUGCUGUCCUCUCCUCUGCCCUGUCUUUGCCUUCCUCCCUCCCUCCUAUGUGUCAAGUUUCUCUGUCCCCUUCUCGGCAAGGAAAGAGAACCGGGAACUGCUUUGCUUGGCAGUUCUGCCUCUCAUCUGCCGCUGUUUGCCUCUUGCCUUUGAGCGUGCGAAAGUUUCUUCCUCUGCGUGUGGAUCUGUCUUCCUCUCUGACGCUGUUUUAGCUUCUCUCCUUCUGUUGGAUGCUGUCUUGACCCAAUCAGCAUCUCAUCUGAUCCUCCCAAUCUCCCCUUGAGGCUGAUCUGGUUACCCCCACUUUACAGCUGAGAGGAAUUCUGGCUCAGACAGUGAAGUGACUGCCUGGAGGUCACACAGCACUUGGCCUGGUGUUAACCUCAAAGCAAACACUUGGAAAAGCCUUAAUGAAUGGAGACAGGUUGCUUGUGGAGUGGAGCAAAGGAGGCCAGAGACCUGCUGCUUCUGCCACUGACAAGCUGUGGGAUUUGGAGAAAGCCCCUGACCCUCUCUGGGCUUCAGUUUCCCCAUUUCUAAAUGAAGGAGGCUGGACUGGGUCCUCCUUAAGGAUCCUCCCAAUUCUGACGGCUCUGAAAUGGGAAUGAAUGAAGUGCUACUGUUCUUUCUCCCUCA
Orcinus orca (killer whale) is the source of this 1085-nucleotide long non-coding RNA. RefSeq lists it as uncharacterized. Lineage: Eukaryota; Metazoa; Chordata; Mammalia; Artiodactyla; Delphinidae. The record is from RefSeq and is a predicted model, not a curated record. The transcript has 3 exons.